RNAcentral lists this ribosomal RNA (333 nucleotides) under uncultured eukaryote. RNAcentral's name for it is "partial 18S ribosomal RNA". It matches the Rfam family "Eukaryotic small subunit ribosomal RNA", at positions 1470 to 1796 of the family's 1831-position model. The record is from RNAcentral.
CCCUUAGAUGUUCUGGGCUGCACGCGCGCUACACUGAUGCGCUCAACGAGUUUAUGACCUUGCCCGGAAGGGUUGGGUAAUCUUCUUAAAACGCAUCGUGAUGGGGAUAGAUUAUUGCAAUUAUUAAUCUUCAACGAGGAAUUCCUAGUAAGCGCGAGUCGUCAGCUCGUGCUGAUUACGUCCCUGCCCUUUGUACACACCGCCCGUCGCUACUACCGAUUGAAUGGUUUAGUGAGAUCCUUGGAUCGGCCCUGUCGCGGCUGGCAACGGCCGCGUCGGCGCGUCGAGAAGACGAUCAAACUUGAUCAUUUAGAGGAAGUAAAAGUCGUAACA